GGCUACUCCGGAGGAGGCUGAGGCUGUAACAUCGGUCUUUUGGGACAUCGAUUUGUUUCGGGUUCCCUCUGGCUUUGAUGCUCUUCUGGUCCGUUCGUGCAUCAAUCGGUUGUUGGAAUCUCAUGGCUACUCUGCUCCUCCCACCAUCUACGCCGUUGGCUUAUUAACAAACGUCCAUGAUGACAUCCUUCAAGCUCUCUCUUCCACUCGAAUCACUCUUUAUUAUGCCCCACACGGUUCCACAGACAUCAAGUCGCUUAUGUCUCGGUGAAUUUCUACGAAUCCACCCCCGGCUAAUAUUUUGGGCAUAUGCGAUCCGAGAGGCUUCCCUCUACCUUUGAGUGGAUACAACAUUUUCCGGCCGUUUUCCUAUUCUUCUCUUAAACAAGACUCCGUCCUCUGGGGAAGCUCUCUUCUGGCAGCAGAUUCAGGGUCUCUAGAAGAGGAUACGUGCAGUGAAACGGGUGAAUCUGCCAGCUGGUGUUGCUUAAUAUGCAAUCAUAUUGGUGGCCAAGGCUUUGAAAGUUUCACCAGACAUCUCUCUAGUCCAAACCAUUCACAAAACCUUUCACAUGAGGGAAGCUCUUCUAAGAAACGGAGGACGUGAACAAGAACUCAAGAGGAAGAAGAAGAGCCACACUCAAGGCUCUUAGGGAACAACCAUCGCAACUAAUGGAACAACAGAGGCAUGCAUGAACUAUCAUGGGAAGCCUCCGAUCUGAACCGGUUUAUCAAGAGCUGAUUCGAACUUAUCAAAGAAAAGUGUGUUUGUGUAGUCUUCGAUUAGUGUUGGGAAAAACUUGGAGGAUAUGUCUGCGUAUAUUCAUUUCUUGGCGUCGGGAUUUGAAACUUCGAGAAGAGCGUUUGGUGCAAUUCCUGGAAGCUUGCAGCCUGAUGAAGAGUUGUGCAGAGAUCUUGGCUUCUCUCUUAUGACUCCUUCCCCAAAUAGUCUUAAGGAAGAUUAACCAUUGACUCUUGUGAACAUGUAAAUUAUGAUGUGUUUUGUUUUUCUUUUUUCCUGCCUGCGGAUCCCAGGUUCAACUUAUAUUAUUUUAAAGGAUUUGGUAAGAAUUUAACAUGAUUGUGUUU
Molecule: non-coding RNA, 1089 nt
Organism: Camelina sativa (false flax)
Lineage: Eukaryota; Viridiplantae; Streptophyta; Magnoliopsida; Brassicales; Brassicaceae
Source: RefSeq, a predicted model, not a curated record